UACGUAGGGAGCAAGCGUUGUCCGGAAUCAUUGGGCGUAAAGCGCGCGUAGGCGGCCCUGUAAGUCCGUUGUGAAAGUCAAAGGCUCAACCUUUGAAAGCCGAUGGAUACUGCAGGGCUAGAGUCCGGAAGAGGCGAGUGGAAUUCCUGGAGUAGCGGUGGAAUGCGCAGAUAUCAGGAGGAACACCAAUAGCGAAGGCAGCUCGCUGGGACGGCACUGACGCUAAGGCGCGAAAGCGUGGGGAGCGAACAGG
Molecule: ribosomal RNA, 253 nt
Filed under: uncultured bacterium
Lineage: Bacteria
Description: partial 16S ribosomal RNA
Rfam family: Bacterial small subunit ribosomal RNA
Source: RNAcentral